Molecule: ribosomal RNA, 442 nt
Filed under: uncultured bacterium
Lineage: Bacteria
Description: bacterial SSU rRNA
Rfam family: Bacterial small subunit ribosomal RNA
Source: RNAcentral
CCUACGGGGUGCACCAGUGGGGAAUAUUGCACAAUGGGCGAAAGCCUGAUGGAGCAACGCCGCGUGAAGGGUGAAGGCCUUAGGGUUGUAAACUUCUUUUAUAAGUGAAGAAUAUGACGGUAACUUAUGAAUAAGCACCGGCUAACUACGUGCCAGCAGCCGCGGUCAUACGUAGGGUGCAAGCAUUAUCCGGAGUGACUGGGCGUAAAGAGUUGCGUAGGUGGUUUGUUAAGUAGAUAGUGAAAUCUGGCGGCUCAACCGUACAGGCUAUUAUCUAAACUGGCAGACUCGAGAAUGGUAGAGGUAACUGGAAUUCCUUGUGUAGGAGUGAAAUCCGUAGAUAUAAGAAGGAACACCAAUGGCGUAGGCAGGUUACUGGACCAUUUCUGACACUGAGGCACGAAAGCGUGGGGAGCGAACGGGAUUAGAUACCCGUGUAGUC